GUGAAGAAACAGAUUCAGAAAAUGCAGCCAGACGCUGAAGGAAAAUUGCCCUACUCAGGUUCCUUUGAUUGUGCCAUGAAGACUUUGAAGGCAGGAGGACCCUUCAAAUUCUACACUGGAUUUCCAGUAUACUGUGUUAGGAUUGCCCCUCAUGUUAUGAUGACUUGGAUUUUCCUUAAUCAAAUUCAGAAG
This is a long non-coding RNA of Capsicum annuum, 192 nucleotides long. RefSeq lists it as uncharacterized. NCBI's taxonomy places the organism in Eukaryota, Viridiplantae, Streptophyta, Magnoliopsida, Solanales, Solanaceae. The transcript has 2 exons. The record is from RefSeq and is a predicted model, not a curated record.